GACCCUAUAGAGUUUAAUAUUUAAUUAAUAAAUUAUUUUUUAGAAUUUAAUAUUAAUUUAUUAAUUAAAUAUUUGAUUGGGGUGAUUGAAAAAUUUAAGUAACUUUUUUUAUAUUUUAACAUUAAUUUAUGAUUAUUUGAUCCAUUAUUUAUGAUUAUAAGAUUAAAUUACCUUAGGGAUAACAGCGUAAUUUUUUUUGAGAGUUCAAAUCGAAAAAAAAGAUUGCGACCUCGAUGUUGGAUUAAAAUUUAUUUUUGGUGUAGAAGCUAAAUUUAUUGGGUCUGUUCGACCUUUAAAAUUUUACAUGAUCUGA
This 313-nucleotide ribosomal RNA is filed under the name Pharaxonotha sp. D0177. RNAcentral's name for it is "partial 16S large subunit ribosomal RNA". The stretch from base 178 to 313 matches the Rfam family "Bacterial large subunit ribosomal RNA", at positions 2473 to 2608 of the family's 2925-position model. The record is from RNAcentral. Lineage: Eukaryota; Metazoa; Arthropoda; Insecta; Coleoptera; Erotylidae. RNAcentral also lists the same sequence under 2 other names.